RNAcentral lists this unclassified non-coding RNA (219 nucleotides) under Hevea brasiliensis (rubber tree). The record is from RNAcentral. Lineage: Eukaryota; Viridiplantae; Streptophyta; Magnoliopsida; Malpighiales; Euphorbiaceae.
CUGAAGUGCGAUACUGCUCCUAUAAAAACUUACCGGAGCUACAAAGAUGAUGAAGACAUCAAAGCGACAUGGUAUUUGAGUGAACUUGCAAAGAUCGAGACCUUUGAAUUAGAUCUGAGGAAAAUCUAUAUUAUAUGUAGAAAACUUCUUGAAUGGAUCAAAUUAUGUCCUUCAAAGAUAAAGAAAAAAGUAUCCCACAUUUAAUAGAAGGAGGUAAAG